This 83-nucleotide transfer RNA is filed under the name Candidatus Nephrothrix sp. EaCA. Its description in RNAcentral is "tRNA-Tyr". It matches the Rfam family "tRNA". Rfam says of the family: Transfer RNA (tRNA) molecules are approximately 80 nucleotides in length. Lineage: Bacteria; Pseudomonadati; Bacteroidota; Cytophagia; Cytophagales; Cytophagaceae. The record is from RNAcentral.
GGGGAGAUACUCAAGCGGCCAACGAGGACAGACUGUAAAUCUGUUGACUUUUGUCUUCACAGGUUCGAAUCCUGUUCUCCCCA